RNAcentral lists this ribosomal RNA (279 nucleotides) under uncultured Bacteroidales bacterium. RNAcentral's name for it is "partial 16S ribosomal RNA". It matches the Rfam family "Bacterial small subunit ribosomal RNA", at positions 524 to 801 of the family's 1533-position model. Lineage: Bacteria; Pseudomonadati; Bacteroidota; Bacteroidia; Bacteroidales. The record is from RNAcentral.
UACGGAAGGUCCAGGCGUUAUCCGGAUUUAUUGGGUUUAAAGGGAGCGUAGGCUGGAGAUUAAGUGUGUUGUGAAAUGUAGACGCUCAACGUCUGAAUUGCAGCGCAUACUGGUUUCCUUGAGUACGCACAACGUUGGCGGAAUUCGUCGUGUAGCGGUGAAAUGCUUAGAUAUGACGAAGAACUCCGAUUGCGAAGGCAGCUGACGGGAGCGCAACUGACGCUUAAGCUCGAAGGUGCGGGUAUCAAACAGGAUUAGAUACCCUGGUAGUCAAGGGCG